This 1244-nucleotide ribosomal RNA is filed under the name metagenome. RNAcentral's name for it is "bacterial LSU rRNA". It matches the Rfam family "Bacterial large subunit ribosomal RNA", at positions 1564 to 2817 of the family's 2925-position model. The record is from RNAcentral.
UGAAUACGAGAUGCUACGGCGUCGAAGCAGUCUAUGUCAUACUUCCAAGAAAAGCUUGCACUGUCAUAAACAAAUAAUGCCUGUACCAUAACCGACACAGGUGGGUAGGUAGAGUAUACUAAGGGGCGCGAGAUAACUCUCUCUAAGGAACUCGGCAAAAUGACUCCGUAACUUCGGGAGAAGGAGUGCCUUAUUUAUAAGGUUGCAAUAACAAGAUCCAAGCAACUGUUUACCAAAAACACAGGUCUCCGCUAAGUCGUAAGACGAUGUAUGGGGGCGGACGCCUGCCCAGUGCCAGAAGGUUAAAGAAGUUGGUUAGCAUCCGCGAAGCUGAUAACUGAAGCCCUGGUGAACGGCGGCCGUAACAAUAACGGUCCUAAGGUAGCGAAAUUCCUUGUCGGGUAAGUUCCGACCCGCACGAAAGGCGUAAUGAUUUGGAUACUGUCUCGGAGAGGGGCUCGGUGAAAUAGACUUGUCUGUGAAGAUGCGGACUACCUGCACCAGGACAGAAAGACCCUAUGAAGCUUUACUGUAACCUGAAAUUGAAAUUGGACUUUACUUGCGCAGUAUAGGUGGGAGGCGUUGAGAAUAUUCUUGCGGGAUUAUUGGAGCCAUCAGUGAGAUACCACUCUUGUAAUGUUAGAUUUCUAACUUUGUAUCAUUAUCUGGUCAAAGAACAGUUUCAGGCGGGCAGUUUGACUGGGGCGGUCGCCUCCUAAACGGUAACGGAGGCGCACAAAGGUUUCCUCUGAACGGGUAGAAAUCGUAUCUAGAGUGUAAAGGCAUAAGGAAGCUUGACUGUGAGACCUACAAGUCGAGCAGGGACGAAAGUCGGUCUUAGUGAUCUGACGGUGCUGAGUGGAAAGGCCGUCACUCAACGGAUAAAAGUUACUCUAAGGAUAACAGGCUGAUCUCCCCCAAGAGUUCACAUCGACGGGGAGGUUUGGCACCUCGAUGUCGGCUCAUCGCAUCCUGGGGCGGUAGUACGUCCCAAGGGUUGGGCUGUUCGCCCAUGAAAGCGGUACGCGAGCUGGGUUCAGAACGUCGUGAGACAGUUCGGUCCAUAUCCGGUGUAGGCGUUAGAAUAUUGAGAGGAGCCUUCUUUAGUACGAGAGGACCGAGAAGGACAUACCUCUGGUGUACCAGUUAUCGUGCCAACGGUAAACGCUGGGUAGCUAUGUGUGGAGUGGAUAACCGCUGAAAGCAUCUAAGUGGGAAGCCCACCUCAAGAUAAGUAUUCUCGU